AAAAAGAUAAGCUAAUUUAAGCUAUUGGGUUCAUACCCCAAGUAUAAAGGUUUUAAUCCUUUUCUUUUUA
This 70-nucleotide transfer RNA is filed under the name Pogonus iridipennis. RNAcentral's name for it is "tRNA-Met". It matches the Rfam family "tRNA". Rfam says of the family: Transfer RNA (tRNA) molecules are approximately 80 nucleotides in length. Their secondary structure includes four short double-helical elements and three loops (D, anti-codon, and T loops). Lineage: Eukaryota; Metazoa; Arthropoda; Insecta; Coleoptera; Carabidae. The record is from RNAcentral.